UAGUGAAUGUUAUAUAGAAAAAUUAAUAAUAGAUUAAAUAAGAUAUUAUUUAUGUUAUAAUUUAAUUAAAGUUAUUUAAAAGUGGGAUUUAUUAAUAAAUUGUUUUAGUAGAAUUUUAUAAAGUAAUUUUAUUUAUUAUAGAGUUUUAGUAAUGUAAAUGAUUAAUGGAAAUUAAAAUUUUAAUAAGAAAAUUUAAUUUAUUGUACCUUUUGUAUCAGGGUUAAUUGAAUAAAAAAUUUGUAACAUUAAAUUAUCUCGAAGAGGAAAGAGCUAAGUAUGGAGUAUUAUUUAUUAUGAAAUUUAAUGUAAUAAUAUUAUUUUUAAUAAUUAUUUAGAGAAGAUAUUUUAGUCAAUUUUUUUGAUAUCUAGUUUUUUUUGAUUAAAUUUAAUUUAAAUAUAAAUUAAAUAUAUUAUCUAUUUAUAUAUAUAUAUAUAUAUAUAUAUAUAUAUAUAUAUAUAUUGUAUAGUUAAUAUAUAAAUUUAUAUAUAUAAUUUAUGGGAUAAACUAUAAAUUUAUAUUUAAAUAAUGAUUAUAAAUACAUAUAUAUAUAUAUAAAUAAUAUAUAAUUAUAUAAAUAUUUUUAAAAUUUUAAUUUUUUAUAAAAAAUUUAAUAAUUUAUAAAUUUUAUUUAUAAAUAAAAUAUAAAUAAAUGAUUAGUAAAUAAUUUAAUUGAUAAAUUUAUUAAUAAAAUAAAAAAAUGUUUGAAAAAAUAAAUAAUUUGAAUUAAUAAUGAUUAAAUUAGUAUUAAAAAAAAAUAUAAUAUAAAUUAUAAAUUGAUAAUUUUUUUAUAAUAACUAGGCAAGUAAUAUUGAAUGUAAGAGAGAAUAUAUAUUUAGUUUUAAGUCCAUCUGUUUAAUAAAAACAUAGUUUUAUGAAAUUUAUAUAAGAUUAGUUCUGCUCCAUGAUAAAAUUAUUAAAUAGCCGCAGUAUUUUGACUGUGCUAAGGUAGCAUAAUCAGUUGUUUCUUAAUUGGGAACUGGUAUAAAGGAAUAAAUGAGAUUUAAACUGUUUUUGAAAUAUAAUAAGAAUUUAAAUUUUUAGUAAGAAUGCUUAAAUGAAAUUAUGGGACGAGAAGACCCUAUAGAAUUUUAUAUAUUUUUGAGUAUAAUAUUGGUUGGUAUAAGAAUUAUAUAUUUAAGUAUAUUUAAUUGGGAGGAUUAUUAAAUUUAAUAAACUUUAUAAUAUAUAUAUAUAUAUAUAUAUAUAUAUAUAACAUAGAUUAAUGGUUAAGUGAAUAAGUUUUUAAUAAAAUUUAUAUUAGAAUUAAUUACCUUAGGGAUAACAGCGUUAUAUUUUUAUAAAGUUCAUAUUAAUAAAAAUGUUUGCGACCUCGAUGUUGAAUUAAAUUAAAAAUUAAAUGGAGAAGUUUAAUAUUUUAGUCUGUUCGACUAUUAAAAUUUUACAUGAUUUGAGUUUAGAUCGGUGUAAGCCAGAUCGGAUUCUAUCUAUAAUAUUUAAGAUAAAUAAUUUUGUACGAAAGGACUAGUUAUUUAAAUAUUAUUUUUAAUAUAUAUAUAUAUAUAUAAUUUUAGAUAAAUAAUAAUUUAAAAGAUUUAGAA
Molecule: ribosomal RNA, 1560 nt
Filed under: Colobopsis nipponica
Lineage: Eukaryota; Metazoa; Arthropoda; Insecta; Hymenoptera; Formicidae
Description: 16S ribosomal RNA
Source: RNAcentral